RNAcentral lists this ribosomal RNA (414 nucleotides) under uncultured microorganism. Its description in RNAcentral is "bacterial SSU rRNA". It matches the Rfam family "Archaeal small subunit ribosomal RNA", at positions 459 to 872 of the family's 1478-position model. The record is from RNAcentral.
CAGCCGCCGCGGUAAUACCGGCGGCCCGAGUGGCGGCCACUAUUAUUGGGCUUAAAGCGUCCGUAGCCGGGUUGGGAAGUCCUCCGGGAAAUCUGGCCGCUUAACGGUCAGAAUGCCGGAGGAUACUCCCAGCCUAGGGAGCGGGAGAGGCCGAGGGUAUUCCCGGAGUAGGGGUGAAAUCCUAUAAUCCCGGGAGGACCACCUGUGGCGAAGGCGCUCGGCUGGAACGCGUCCGACGGUGAGGGACGAAGGCCAGGGGAGCAAACCGGAUUAGAUACCCGGGUAGUCCUGGCUGUAAACGAUGCGGACUUUGUGUCGGACAAGCUAUGAGCUGGUCCGGUGCCGGAGGGAAACCGUUAAGUCCGCCGCCUGGGGAGUACGGCCGCAAGGCUGAAACUUAAAGGAAUUGGCGGG